UCUGAAGUGAAAGCAAAUGUGAAGUCUUUGGAUCCCAAAAGCCCUGCAUGAUGGUGACAACGAGGAAGACACUGGUGAUGCUGGCUGAGCAGGGAUCUGCCAAGACUGAGGCUUCAGGUCCGAGUGAGUGCACCUUCCUUCCGUGUUUCCGUGGUCUCUUCCUGGAUUCCCAAUUCCUGGCCUUGUUGCCGUGUGGUGUACAGGACAUCAUUCCAACACCCCCUCUGUUGAGCUGUUCCCUCCCCCAUGCCUACAGGUCAAGGUCCUCUGAGCAAAGCCAGUAACAUUAGUGAUAGACGUAUUUAAAGGGCUUAUUGCGAGCCAGCCACAGGGCUUGUCUUAUUUAAUCCUCAUAACAGCUCUCCGAGGCUGUCCCCACUUUACAGGUGAGGGGACGGGGGCUUGGCCCACAGUAAUUCCUCAAGGGGGCACAGCUAGAAGGUGGCAGUGUUGGGCUGAGACCUCAGCACUGAUUCUAAAGCCAUGCUCUUAAUGUCUCCAUGACACUAUAAAGCCCCCUCAUGCAGGAGAGUCUGGAGUCUGCCCUCCUCACCUGCCCACCCCCAAUUCCCAUAUCCACGCCACCUCUUCAGGGGACAGUGAAUGACCUCACCCUUCAGGUAACACCUGACUCUCUACACAUAGUGCUGGAGUCCCUCAAAGGCCUGCAGGUAUAGCAGCAUAAAAGGGACACUCGGGUUAUAGGAUGCAUUGCAGGUAAAUGGAGAGAAGAGGGUCCUCCUCUCUCCUUCCAGCACGUGGGGCACGAGCAGCUGUGCUGACACCCCCAGGCCCACUCGGGGCCCACCCCCCCCAACAGACAGCAGCCCCUUUCAUCCUGUCUGACUUAGCAGUUUAUUUUAGGCAUGGCCUGACCAGGUGCUCUGGGUCAAUAGGCUUAGUUUUAAAUAACUGGAUUCCUCUCAGCAACCGUCUCCUUUAGAAGGGGAGGGACAUGAUGGAAGAAUGAGCCUAGCAGGCUGCAGGCGGGGAGGGAAGCUCUCAGCCAGAGGACUGUAGAUGGCUGGCCUCUGUCACUGCCUGCGUGACCUCAGGCGGGUCCAUCACUCCUGGCUCUGGAUCUCAGCUUCCUCGUCUGUACAGCAGGGGGCUGGGUCAUCUCAAACACCUGUUGCAAUCUGCCCCGUGCCUCUGUUCACAGAGGACAAAACACCUCGUGGAGAAGCAUCUGCCUUGGAGUGGUGACUUAGUGUCUCAGAACUGGGCCACUCCGGGGACAGCGCCGGGCACAGCAAGCAGCUCUUCUCACAGGAGAGUCAGGUUCUGGUCUCGCUUGUGAUACAAACUGGGUGCCCUUGAGCAAGCUAAGCUUUACUCUUCUCACCUGUGUUAAAAGGUGGAGCUAACCUUCACAAUAUUUUCUGGAGCUUUACACAGAGCAACCACAGGUGAGAGCCCUUUAAACUCUUAAUGCACUGUGCAAAAAAAAAGUCAAGGCACCUGGCAAUUCCUCAGACAGUUAAAAA
This is a non-coding RNA of Vicugna pacos (alpaca), 1487 nucleotides long. NCBI's taxonomy places the organism in Eukaryota, Metazoa, Chordata, Mammalia, Artiodactyla, Camelidae. The record is from RefSeq and is a predicted model, not a curated record.